This 82-nucleotide non-coding RNA is filed under the name Planomonospora parontospora subsp. sphaerica. Its description in RNAcentral is "Planomonospora sphaerica ZTP sequence". It matches the Rfam family "ZMP/ZTP riboswitch aptamer (pfl RNA motif)". From Rfam's summary of the family: Previously known as pfl RNA. ZMP is also known as AICAR. The record is from Rfam by way of RNAcentral. Lineage: Bacteria; Bacillati; Actinomycetota; Actinomycetes; Streptosporangiales; Streptosporangiaceae.
UCGUCUAAGCGCGACUGGCGCAUUUGGUGGAACAACCACCGGGGAGCGGAAACGGCGGAGGCCGCGCGCCUGGGUCUCCGCG